GGGGCUGACCGGUUUUGACAGCGGGCAGAAGUGGUUUGUAAGCAUACAGUGCGCCAUUAGUCUGCACUUAAAUCUCGGCUGAUAAACAAUUAAUUGGCGAAAAUUCUUACGCUCUCGCUGCCUGAUUGAAGUAUAGUAGAUUAGGCUUAAUCCAUUCGCAAGGCGUUUGGACGGGACAUCACCCGGAGCUGUGGCUUCGAAGCUGACCGACAAGGUGGUGCAGAAAUAUCGGAGAUAGUUUGUCGAACGUCCCGCGCGACAAAUGAAAUCAAGGGACUAAGGUUGCGGUUGGUGGCUUCGGUCUUGCCGCAACACGAAAAUAAAGGCGAAGAUAAGUAUGUAGAAAGCAAAUUAAUUCCUCGUUUGGACGAGAGUUCGAAUCUCUCCAGCUCCACAA
RNAcentral lists this transfer-messenger RNA (397 nucleotides) under Tannerella sp. It matches the Rfam family "transfer-messenger RNA". From Rfam's summary of the family: Bacterial tmRNA, also known as 10Sa RNA or SsrA, is named for its dual tRNA and mRNA-like properties. Its role is to liberate the mRNA from a stalled ribosome. The record is from RNAcentral. Lineage: Bacteria; Pseudomonadati; Bacteroidota; Bacteroidia; Bacteroidales; Tannerellaceae.